Molecule: ribosomal RNA, 227 nt
Filed under: uncultured bacterium
Lineage: Bacteria
Description: partial 16S ribosomal RNA
Rfam family: Bacterial small subunit ribosomal RNA
Source: RNAcentral
UGAGUAACACGUAUCCAACCUGCCGUCUACUCUUGGACAGCCUUCUGAAAGGAAGAUUAAUACAAGAUGGCAUCAUGAGUCCGCAUGUUCACAUGAUUAAAGGUAUUCCGGUAGACGCUGGGGAUGCGUUCCAUUAGAUAGUAGGCGGGGUAACGGCCCACCUAGUCUUCGAUGGAUAGGGGUUCUGAGAGGAAGGUCCCCCACAUUGGAACUGAGACACGGUCCAA